CGUUGUUCGGAAUCACUGGGCUUAAAGGGCUCGUAGGCGGGCUGCCAAGUUUGGGGUGAAAUCCUCCGGCUCAACCGGGGAAGUGCCUCGAAUACUGGCGGUCUGGAGGGAGGUAGGGGCGUGCGGAACUGUGGGUGGAGCGGUGAAAUGCGCAGAUAUCAGGAGGAACACCGGUGGCGGAGGCGGGUCUCUGGGCCGAUACUGACGCUGAGGAGCGAAAGCGUGGGGAGCGAACAGG
This 238-nucleotide ribosomal RNA is filed under the name uncultured bacterium. RNAcentral describes it as "partial 16S ribosomal RNA". It matches the Rfam family "Bacterial small subunit ribosomal RNA", at positions 539 to 776 of the family's 1533-position model. The record is from RNAcentral.